AGCAUAUCAAUAAGCGGAGGAAAAGAAACUAACAAGGAUUCCCCUAGUAACUGCGAGUGAAGCGGGAAAAGCUCAAAUUUAAAAUCUGGCGGUCUUUGGCCGUCCGAGUUGUAGUCUGGAGAAGUGCUUUCCGCGCUGGACCGUGUAUAAGUCUCUUGGAACAGAGCGUCAUAGAGGGUGAGAAUCCCGUCUUUGACACGGACUACCAGUGCUUUGUGAUGCGCUCUCGAAGAGUCGAGUUGUUUGGGAAUGCAGCUCAAAAUGGGUGGUAAAUUCCAUCUAAAGCUAAAUAUUGGCGAGAGACCGAUAGCGAACAAGUACCGUGAGGGAAAGAUGAAAAGCACUUUGGAAAGAGAGUUAAACAGUACGUGAAAUUGCUGAAAGGGAAACGCUUGAAGUCAGUCGCGUCUGCCGGAACUCAGCCUUGCUUUCGCUUGGUGCAUUUUCCGGUAGACGGGCCAGCAUCGAUUUUGACCGUCGGAUAAGGGCCAGGGAAAUGUGGCACCCUCGGGUGUGUUAUAGUCUCUGGUCGCAUACGACGGUUGGGAUCGAGGAACGCAGCGCGCCGCAAGGCAGGGGUUCGCCCACUUUCGCGCUUAGGAUGCUGGCGUAAUGGCUUUAAACGACCCGUCUUGAAACACGGACCAAGGAGUCUAACAUGCCUGCGAGUGUUUGGGUGGUAAACCCGAGCGCGUAAUGAAAGUGAAAGUUGAGACCUCUGUCGUGGAGGGCAUCGACGCCCGGACCUGACGUUCUCUGACGGAUCCGCGGUAGAGCAUGUAUGUUGGGACCCGAAAGAUGGUGAACUAUGCCUGAAUAGGGUGAAGCCAGAGGAAACUCUGGUGGAGGCUCGUAGCGAUUCUGACGUGCAAAUCGAUCGUCAAAUUUGGGUAUAGGGGCGAAAGACUAAUCGAACCAUCUAGUAGCUGGUUCCUGCCGAGUCCCC
RNAcentral lists this ribosomal RNA (946 nucleotides) under Trametes sp. Its description in RNAcentral is "partial large subunit ribosomal RNA". It matches the Rfam family "Eukaryotic large subunit ribosomal RNA", at positions 37 to 972 of the family's 3401-position model. Lineage: Eukaryota; Fungi; Basidiomycota; Agaricomycetes; Polyporales; Polyporaceae. The record is from RNAcentral.